This 455-nucleotide ribosomal RNA is filed under the name uncultured bacterium. RNAcentral's name for it is "bacterial SSU rRNA". It matches the Rfam family "Bacterial small subunit ribosomal RNA", at positions 340 to 786 of the family's 1533-position model. The record is from RNAcentral.
UACGGAAGGCAGCAGUGGGGAAUAUUGCACAAUGGGCGCAAGCCUGAUGCAGCCAUGCCGCGUGUAUGAAGAAGGCCUUCGGGUUGUAAAGUACUUUCAGUCGUGAGGAAGGUGUUAAGGUUAAUAACCUUAGCAAUUGACGUUAGCGACAGAAGAAGCACCGGCUAACUCCGUGCCAGCAGCCGCGGUAAUACGGAGGGUGCUAGCGUUAAUCAGAAUUACUGGGCGUAAAGAGCACGUAGGUGGUUUUUUUAAGUCAGAUGUGAAAUCCCCGGGCUUAACCUGGGAAUGGCAUUCAAGACUGGUUAGCUAGAGUCUUGUAGAGGGGGUAGAAUUCCAUGUGUAGCGGUGAAAUGCGUAGAGAUGUGGAGGAAUACCGGUGGCGAAGGCGGCCCCUGGGACAAAGACUGACGCUCAUGUGCGAAAGCGUGGGGAGCAAACAGGGAUUAGAUACC